This 609-nucleotide ribosomal RNA is filed under the name Helicostylum sp. 6790-R1. Its description in RNAcentral is "eukaryotic LSU rRNA". It matches the Rfam family "Eukaryotic large subunit ribosomal RNA", at positions 98 to 610 of the family's 3401-position model. Lineage: Eukaryota; Fungi; Mucoromycota; Mucoromycetes; Mucorales; Mucoraceae. The record is from RNAcentral.
GAGGAAAGAGCUCAAAGUUGGAACCUGUUUGGCUUAGCUAAACCGGAUUGUAAACUGUAGAAGUGUUUUCCAGACACGCCUGGUAAAAAAGUCCUUUGGAACAGGGCAUCAUAGAGGGUGAGAAUCCCGUCUUUGGCCAGAGCUGUUGUCUUUUGUGAUACAUUUUCAAAGAGUCAGGUUGUUUGGGAAUGCAGCCUAAAUUGGGUGGUAAAUCUCACCUAAAGCUAAAUAUUUGCGAGAGACCGAUAGCGAACAAGUACCGUGAGGGAAAGAUGAAAAGAACUUUGAAAAGAGAGUUAAACAGUAUGUGAAAUUGUUAAAAGGGAACCGUUUGGAGCCAGACUGGCUUGACUGUAAUCAAUCUAGGCUUCGGCCUGGAUGCACUUGCGGUUUAUGCCUGCCAACGACAAUUUUUUUUGAGGGAAAAAACUAUUUGGAAUGUGGCCCUCCCUCGGGGGGGUGUUAUAGCCUUUUAGAAAAUACCUUGAAUUGGAUUGAGGAACGCAGUGAAUGCCUUUAGGCAAGAUUGCUGGGCGCUUUCGCUAAUAAAUGCUAGAAUUUCUGCUUCGGGUGGUGCUAGUGUUUAAAGGAGAAACUCGUCUGGUAUAU